RNAcentral lists this ribosomal RNA (497 nucleotides) under uncultured bacterium. Its description in RNAcentral is "partial 16S ribosomal RNA". It matches the Rfam family "Bacterial small subunit ribosomal RNA", at positions 28 to 507 of the family's 1533-position model. The record is from RNAcentral.
GAUGAACGCUGGCGGCGUGCCUAAUACAUGCAAGUCGGGCGAACAGACGAGGAGCUUGCUCCUCUGACGUUAGCGGCGGACGGGUGAGUAACACGUGGAUAACCUACCUAUAAGACUGGGAUAACUUCGGGAAACCGGAGCUAAUACCGGAUAAUAUAUUGAACCGCAUGGUUCAAUAGUGAAAGACGGUUUUGCUGUCACUUAUAGAUGGAUCCGCUCCGCAUUAGCUAGUUGGUAAGGUAACGGCUUACCAAGGCAACGAUGCGUAGCCGACCUGAGAGGGUGAUCGGCCACACUGGAACUGAAACACGGUCCAGACUCCUACGGGAGGCAGCAGUAGGGAAUCUUCCGCAAUGGGCGAAAGCCUGACGGAGCAACGCCGCGUGAGUGAUGAAGGUCUUCGGAUCGUAAAACUCUGUUAUUAGGGAAGAACAAAUGUGGAAGUAACUAUGCACGUCUUGACGGUACCUAAUCAGAAAGCCACGGCUAACUACGUG